RNAcentral lists this transfer RNA (64 nucleotides) under Trichodes sinae. RNAcentral describes it as "tRNA-His". Lineage: Eukaryota; Metazoa; Arthropoda; Insecta; Coleoptera; Cleridae. The record is from RNAcentral.
AUUUAAAUAGUUUAAUUAAAAUAUUGAUUUGUGGAGUCAAAGAUAUAAGAUAUUAUUUUAAAUA